AUUUAGAGUCUUGUUAAGGCCAGCAGCCUAUCACAUCAGUGUCUGGGACAUGGCACCCCCGAAGUAAGUUUUUUAAAAACUGAGGAAGUGUAAAGAAGUGCCCAGGCUUAGUGAGCUCUCACGAGGGGACCGUGUCUUACCAGCACCUGCACCUGGAAGCCCCGCCUCACCAGCACCCUGCAGCCCAGCAGCGAGCCCUGUCUGGGAUGGUGCGGGCGCCCCGCCCCAGGGUGGCCGAUGUCAGUGGUGGGGGCGUGUCUACAGCAUGGGAAUUAGCCGGCACUGUUUGCUAGCCCUUGCCCUGUCCCUCGCAGGUGGUUAAAUGUUUGCCAGCCC
This 336-nucleotide long non-coding RNA is filed under the name Bos taurus (domestic cattle). RNAcentral's name for it is "long non-coding RNA NONBTAT022853". Lineage: Eukaryota; Metazoa; Chordata; Mammalia; Artiodactyla; Bovidae. The record is from RNAcentral.